This is a non-coding RNA of Pelobates cultripes (western spadefoot toad), 250 nucleotides long. Lineage: Eukaryota; Metazoa; Chordata; Amphibia; Anura; Pelobatidae. The record is from the annotation of a GenBank genome assembly.
UAGCUUUCUGUUUGUAAUAACUAAUCUGAGAAGUGAGCCCUUCCUUCAAUGUUCCUUGUCUUUCCUCCAGCAGGUGCUGUCAGUGUGUCACUGUGCGGAAUCAUAGCACACUACCGGCUUCUUACUGCUUCUAUCUAUAAAUUCAUGUUACAGUAUUCUAAAAAUGCCGAUAAUAAAUAAACACACUGCAUAUUAGAUAUUUUAUAUAGACACGCUGUUAUACAUUUAUAAUGCAGAAUUCUCAAUAAAC